RNAcentral lists this long non-coding RNA (617 nucleotides) under Daucus carota (carrot). Its description in RNAcentral is "long non-coding RNA (DCAR_LNC002560)". Lineage: Eukaryota; Viridiplantae; Streptophyta; Magnoliopsida; Apiales; Apiaceae. The record is from RNAcentral.
CACAGUUUGAUAUGUUUUUAAUCCAAAUAUCUAUAUCUGAAUAGAGAUGAAGAGGCAGAUCAUUAGGAUUGCAAAGAAUAAACUUCAAUAUGAGACCUCCACGAGAUAAAAGAAUACUGCUGCCGGUUAUUGAAAAUUCAUAUAGUUUAGUUUCUCUAAUUCUGAAAGGAAACCUCUGAGAAAGCCGGUUGAAGAAAAGGUCAUCAAAAACUAGGUGUGAGUGCAUUUCCCAUAUACCCCUCUAUGUUUUUGAGAGAAUGCUCAUUCUUGCUACACAGUCAACCGGCAAUCACUUUUGAAUUAGGUCUAGUAAGUCACUGGGCAUGUCACUUUUGAAUUAGACCUUAUUCUAAAGCGAUUGCCGGUUGACUGUAUUGCAAGAAUGUGCAUUCUCUCAAAAACAUGGAGGGGUAAAUGGGAAAUGCACCCACACCUAGUUUUUGAUGACUAGGUCAUCAAAAACUAGGUGUGAGUGCAUUUCCCAUUUACCCCUCUAUGUUUUUGAGAGAAUGCUCAUUCUUGCUACACAGUCAACCGGCAAUCACUUUUGAAUUAGGUCUAGUAAGUCACUGGGCAUGUCACUUUUGAAUUAGACCUUAUUCUAAAGCGAUUGCCGG